This 69-nucleotide transfer RNA is filed under the name Smaragdina concolor. Its description in RNAcentral is "tRNA-Gln". Lineage: Eukaryota; Metazoa; Arthropoda; Insecta; Coleoptera; Chrysomelidae. The record is from RNAcentral.
UACGUUCAAGUAUAAGUUGUACAGGAACUUUUGAUGUUUAAAGAGAUGGUUAAAUUCCAUCGAACGUAA